CAGAGAUUCCCGAAAAUCUAAAACCAGUGGUGACAGUAGUUAACAGUCUUCCAGUGACAUCCGGUGAUUGUGAAAGGGGCUUCAGUACAAUGAAUUUGGUGAUGUCACCCAUUAGGAGUGGGCUUGGCAUUGAACGCCUGUCUUCUCUUUUGUUUAUUAGUCUCAUUGGGCCUCCUGUGCAUUUAUGGGAUCCUUUACCAUACGUCACAAAAUGGCUGACCACACAUCGCAGCGCAGAUGAUAC
This is a non-coding RNA of Pelobates cultripes (western spadefoot toad), 244 nucleotides long. The record is from the annotation of a GenBank genome assembly. NCBI's taxonomy places the organism in Eukaryota, Metazoa, Chordata, Amphibia, Anura, Pelobatidae.